UUUCUGACAUUUAUAAUAGAUUUUAUUUUUUAGUCAAAAAGCUAAAAUUAACUUAAAAGACGAGAAGACCCUAUAAAUCUUUAUAUUUGAAUUAUUAUAAUUUUUUAGAUUUAUUUUAUUUUAAUAAUUAAUAAUAUUUUAUUGGGGUGAUAUUAAAAUUUAAAAAACUUUUAAUUUUUUUUUACAUUAAUUUAUGGUUAAUUGAUCCGUUACUAACGAUUAAAAAAUUAAGUUACCUUAGGGAUAACAG
This 250-nucleotide ribosomal RNA is filed under the name Musca domestica (house fly). RNAcentral describes it as "partial 16S ribosomal RNA". The record is from RNAcentral. Lineage: Eukaryota; Metazoa; Arthropoda; Insecta; Diptera; Muscidae.